RNAcentral lists this ribosomal RNA (465 nucleotides) under uncultured bacterium. RNAcentral describes it as "partial 16S ribosomal RNA". It matches the Rfam family "Bacterial small subunit ribosomal RNA", at positions 28 to 507 of the family's 1533-position model. The record is from RNAcentral.
GACGAACGCUGGCGGCGUGCUUAACACAUGCAAGUCGAACGGAAAGGCCCCUUUGGGGGUACUCGAGUGGCGAACGGGUGAGUAACACGUGAGUAACCUGCCCUUGACUUCGGGAUAACUUCAGGAAACUGGGGCUAAUACCGGAUAGGAAUCCUUGCUGCAUGGUGGGGGUUGAAAAGUUUCGGCGGUUUUGGAUGGCCUCGCGGCGUAUCGGCUUGUUGGGGGGGUAGUGGCUUACCAAGGCUUGGACGGGUAGCCGGCCUGAGAGGGCGACCGGCGACAUUGGGACUGAGAUACGGCCCAGACUCCUACGGGAGGCAGCAGUGGGGAAUAUUGCACAAUGGGCGGAAGCCUGAUGCAGCAACGCCGCGUGCGGGAUGACGGCCUUCGGGUUGAAAACCGCUUUCAGCAGGGGCGAAGCUUGUGGUGACGGUACCUGCAGAAGAAGCACCGGCUAACUACGUG